AAAGUCGUAACAAGGUUUCCGUAGGUGAACCUGCGGAAGGAUCAUUACCAAAUAAAUGUCCUGCACACUGUGCACCUUCCUGUAGUAGACCAUUCUUUGGUCUCCUGCGUCUUCCUUUUUCACCACGCAAAACCUGUCAUCGUACGGUGCUGAACAUUUUAACAUAUAAUACAACUUUCAACAACGGAUCUCUUGGCUCUC
Molecule: unclassified non-coding RNA, 201 nt
Filed under: Basidiomycota sp.
Lineage: Eukaryota; Fungi; Basidiomycota
Description: partial contains small subunit ribosomal RNA, internal transcribed spacer 1, and 5.8S ribosomal RNA
Rfam family: Eukaryotic small subunit ribosomal RNA (bases 1-47)
Source: RNAcentral